GACGAACGCUGGCGGCGUGCUUAACACAUGCAAGUCGAACGGAAAGGCCCUGCUUUUGUGGGGUGCUCGAGUGGCGAACGGGUGAGUAACACGUGAGUAACCUGCCCUUGACUUUGGGAUAACUUCAGGAAACUGGGGCUAAUAUCGUAUAGGAGCUCCUGCUGCAUGGUGGGGGUUGGAAAGUUUCGGCGGUUGGGGAUGGACGCGCGGCUUAUCAGCUUGUUGGUGGGGUAGUGGCUUACCAAGGCUUUGACGGGUAGCCGGCAUGAGAGGGUGAACGGGCACAUGGGGACUGAGAGACGGCCCAGAGUGCAACGGGGGGCAGCAGUGGGAAAUAUUGCACAAUGGGAGGAAGCCGGAUGAAGAAACGCCGCGUGCGGGAUGACGGCCUUCGGGUUGUGAACCGCUUUCGCCUGUGACGAAGCGUGAGUGACGGUAAUGGGUAAAGAAGCACCGGCUAACUACGUG
This 468-nucleotide ribosomal RNA is filed under the name uncultured bacterium. RNAcentral's name for it is "partial 16S ribosomal RNA". It matches the Rfam family "Bacterial small subunit ribosomal RNA", at positions 28 to 507 of the family's 1533-position model. The record is from RNAcentral.